Long non-coding RNA from Panicum virgatum (switchgrass), 1295 nucleotides. RefSeq lists it as uncharacterized. Lineage: Eukaryota; Viridiplantae; Streptophyta; Magnoliopsida; Poales; Poaceae. The transcript is spliced from 2 exons. The record is from RefSeq and is a predicted model, not a curated record.
UAGGCAGGCACUGCAGCAACUGCUACAGUAAUCCCAUCAGGUUCUGAGUGGGCUCUAACGUUCUUAGUUGCUGUUUGGUGCUUCAGUUUUAGCUGAAAGCUACGUGGAGAUUAACGUUUUGUCCUAGACAAGUGUAGGUGGAUUGAAAACAUUGCUGCAAUAAUCUUCUCAUAGGACAGGAGUAGCGUGUUAAACUAAAAUGAAGAGGCUAUUAUUGAUUGGUGAUUAUGCAUUAUACAACUGAUCUUGUAAACAAAACUAUCUAUACAGUACAAUGAUGCAGUUUUAUUUUGAACUCCGUUAAUGCCUUAACCACAUUGAGUAAUCCUGUCCUUUCCUGGAUCUUAGUCUUCCAGGACUUUAAACUAACUCAAUAAGACAGUUGUAGCUUUACAGUAGAUCAGUCAUUGCUCUAACUUUAUCCUAAUUGUAUCAAGUUCAGGGUGGGCCCACCCGGCCACCCCUAAAAAGUACUACUAGUAAUAUAUUCAUCGAGCUAUAUUGAACCUUAAACAACACAUGACAAUAUAGCAACACUGUGUGAAUUCAAGCAACCAAAGUACAAAAAGCUCAGCGAGAAGCGAGGUUUUGCUUCCCAAAUAAUCCAACUACUUUUGUUAUAUGCAAGUGUUGUUACAGGUUGGAUGGUAUAUUUAUUAAUGAAAUGCAAGAUUGUACCCAGGAAGGGCACUUUAUGGGUGGCGAUCAUCGAACAUGGAUCCGUAAUCCUGUCUUUGGGGACAAAAGUAGUAUGAUGCUACAGCAGCAUGCCUUUUUUGGCACAAGCUUCGUAUCAAGAGGGGACUGGCUGAUUUCCCAGCGAACACAUGCGUGUCCAUCAGGAUCAGGUCAAACGCGAUGUGUGAUGUACCAACUCCGGGUACACGGUACGUGAUGAUUCGUGUUAGGUGCUUGCGUGGCCUACAUUCAUGUCACGAGCAGGUUCCUGGAAGGACUUGGGACUGUUGGGGAAAGCUUUCACACUGGUAGCGGUAGAGAACCUUUGUUCUUCUGCUCAGCACGUACCAGUAGUGGCCGUUCCUUAAAGGAAACAUCUGCAUUGGUUGCUACUGUCAGUUAUUUCAAUGGGACUACAAUAUAAUAAAUCUAAAAGGUUGUGUGAAAAAUAAGGAGGAAAUCAGAAAAAGUUGCUAUUCAUGCGAUGGCGUUGCCCUAACAUAAUUAACAUAGUAGGAAGUAGCAAGUAGCAACAGAGAAAAUUCAUGGAGAAUGUGAACUAGUGCUUUUGCAACAACGAUUUGCCUCUUGAUUUUGCACGAUGCAUAUAUUAAGCA